GCGCGGGUAGCUCAGUGGUAGAGCAGUUGGCUUUUAACCAAUUGGUCGUGGGUUCGACCCCCACCCCGCGUACCA
RNAcentral lists this transfer RNA (75 nucleotides) under Verrucomicrobiales bacterium. Its description in RNAcentral is "tRNA-Lys". It matches the Rfam family "tRNA". From Rfam's summary of the family: Transfer RNA (tRNA) molecules are approximately 80 nucleotides in length. Their secondary structure includes four short double-helical elements and three loops (D, anti-codon, and T loops). Lineage: Bacteria; Pseudomonadati; Verrucomicrobiota; Verrucomicrobiia; Verrucomicrobiales. The record is from RNAcentral.